UCUUUGACUGUUAACUUACGUUGUUUCCUGCAAUCAAAGAGUAUAUAUGGACAUACGCCGCCCUUGAGUUUGCACUUGUGGCUUUAACUGUGCAUCUGUUUUAUACUUAUGUAAGAUAAAAUGUUGAGAUUUCUUUAUAAUGAUUGAUUCAGCAAACCAUAACCUCAUUACUUUGUUGCAGUUCCAUUUGGCGGCCAUUUACUCGAUACUACUUUCAUCGAUUUUGGGUUUUGGAGUUGCUAUAGGAAUCAACUAUUUGUAUAUCCAGUAUGUGACAUGGAGAUUUCAGGUUUCUACUAAUGAUACUCCCAUAUGAAUCUCCUCGAAAAGAAAACGUCUUAUGGAUUAUCAUUCUACCUACUAUCAUAGUGUCUAGUAUGAACCUUGAGUUUGUUGAUCAACUGGUUUUAGACUCGUGCAAUGCACAGUGAUGUUCGACUGUCAUGAACUUAGUGCACAACAUCAAGUGUCAAAAUGAAUGUAAAGAUAGUAAUUAUGCUUAAAUAGCACCGAAACAGAAUCGACAAGUUGUCGACAAGAAAAGUUAGAGCGAGUGGAUGAACUAAACCAUUCACUGAUUUGUAUAAUGCAGGAAAUUAAGAGAAACAGAAUCUUGAAGAUAUUUUAUUGGCUUUUUCAGUUUCAAAUUGAAGCAAGAAAAUGGUUAAUUUUGCAAAAUAAAGUUGGUUUAAGCUUAAGUUUUAAACAUUUCUUGUAUUAUAUCAGAUAUAUCGGUCACGGGAGUUCUGAUCCAAUAAAUGUUAGUUUUAUGUUACUUCAUUGGCAGCAACAUGGAAGUGCAACUUGAUAUUCCGUGCAAAAUACAGCAUUGUUAGUUUGUAUCUUUUAGGUUUUAACUACACCUUGUAAUUUUUUUAAUGAGAUGCUUGAACAUGCCUAUAAUGCCAUAAAUGCAAACUUAAUUUGGUGCAAUUUUUUAUUUUUUUCAUGUAAUACAUGUAAUGGAGUUCUUUAGUGUAAGUCCCUAUCAGUUUUAUUUCUUCAAAUUAAUGAACAUGUUUCUUUGUAGGUUAUUAUGCUUACGUGUCAUUUUUAUGUGGUAUGAAUGGUUCAGCUCCUACGAAUUGGAUGAAUAUGCAGCAAAACAGAAUGGUACCUUGAAAAACAAGACAAAAAUGGAGAUGGGGAGAAACCUAGUCGUACAGUUGACAUACCAAACAUUACAGGUACUGAAUCAAAUGUAGUAGUAGAGCAAAGAGGGUGAGAUUUCCAAAGGGCAAGAAAGGGAAGCAAGUAGAUGUAGUAGUAGAGCAAGUAAUUGUUAAAGAGAAUGUGAAUGGCUUGUCGAACCCCGUUGUUGCUGCCAAAGAGCCGGUGAAACGCUGGAAUCAAAUCACCGCUGAACUCCUGAGUGAGGAGAAUGGAGGUGGCAUCAGGUUCAUCGAUCUACUUAUAGUGGGAGCUUGUUCUUUCGAUGUUUAUUGCUCUGAGCAUGUCUGGAACAGGUCUUCUGCAUCCUUCUUCUUUUGUUAUUGUGUCUUUUAAAUGCCUAUUGUUGUUUGUUAUGUAGAGCAGGUUGUCUCUGUUUUAUUUUACGAAGAAAUCAGGUUUGGAGCCGUUUGAUAUUCGAUUUGAUGAGCACGUGCCAAAGGUUGCAUUUCCUCAUGGUAUGAUGAUACCACUUGAUUCUUUUAAUACAGUGUACCAUUCUCUUGCGUUUUGGGCUUUGAUGCUUCCGGUGUCGGUUAGCAUGACUUCUGAUGUUUUUAGAGGUUAUUGAGGACAUAGGCUUAUUUGGGAGUUGGGGUUAUGUUUCCGUUUAUGCUCUCCUACAGUCCAUAGGUAUGACAGAGUUGAGGCAUAUCCCUUUUUGGAGGAGAAAGAUCUUCACGUGAACGUCGGUCGUUUAACCAAGUAUUUGGGUGUGUGGAGAUCAGA
Vicia villosa (hairy vetch) is the source of this 1899-nucleotide long non-coding RNA. RefSeq lists it as uncharacterized. The record is from RefSeq and is a predicted model, not a curated record. The transcript has 4 exons. Lineage: Eukaryota; Viridiplantae; Streptophyta; Magnoliopsida; Fabales; Fabaceae.